Molecule: ribosomal RNA, 2902 nt
Filed under: Klebsiella pneumoniae
Lineage: Bacteria; Pseudomonadati; Pseudomonadota; Gammaproteobacteria; Enterobacterales; Enterobacteriaceae
Description: 23S ribosomal RNA
Rfam family: Bacterial large subunit ribosomal RNA
Source: RNAcentral
GGUUAAGCGACUAAGCGUACACGGUGGAUGCCCUGGCAGUCAGAGGCGAUGAAGGACGUGCUAAUCUGCGAAAAGCGUCGGUAAGGUGAUAUGAACCGUUAUAGCCGGCGAUGUCCGAAUGGGGAAACCCAGUGCAAUUCGUUGCACUAUCGUUAACUGAAUACAUAGGUUAACGAGGCGAACCGGGGGAACUGAAACAUCUAAGUACCCCGAGGAAAAGAAAUCAACCGAGAUUCCCCCAGUAGCGGCGAGCGAACGGGGAGCAGCCCAGAGUCUGAAUCAGCUUGUGUGUUAGUGGAACGGUCUGGAAAGUCCGACGGUACAGGGUGAUAGUCCCGUACACCAAAAUGCACAGGUUGUGAACUCGAAGAGUAGGGCGGGACACGUGGUAUCCUGUCUGAAUAUGGGGGGACCAUCCUCCAAGGCUAAAUACUCCUGACUGACCGAUAGUGAACCAGUACCGUGAGGGAAAGGCGAAAAGAACCCCGGCGAGGGGAGUGAAAAAGAACCUGAAACCGUGUACGUACAAGCAGUGGGAGCACCUUCGGGUGUGACUGCGUACCUUUUGUAUAAUGGGUCAGCGACUUAUAUUCUGUAGCAAGGUUAACCGUAUAGGGGAGCCGCAGGGAAACCGAGUCUUAACUGGGCGUUAAGUUGCAGGGUAUAGACCCGAAACCCGGUGAUCUAGCCAUGGGCAGGUUGAAGGUUGGGUAACACUAACUGGAGGACCGAACCGACUAAUGUUGAAAAAUUAGCGGAUGACUUGUGGCUGGGGGUGAAAGGCCAAUCAAACCGGGAGAUAGCUGGUUCUCCCCGAAAGCUAUUUAGGUAGCGCCUCGUGAAUUCAUCUUCGGGGGUAGAGCACUGUUUCGGCUAGGGGGUCAUCCCGACUUACCAACCCGAUGCAAACUACGAAUACCGAAGAAUGUUAUCACGGGAGACACACGGCGGGUGCUAACGUCCGUCGUGAAGAGGGAAACAACCCAGACCGCCAGCUAAGGUCCCAAAGUCAUGGUUAAGUGGGAAACGAUGUGGGAAGGCACAGACAGCCAGGAUGUUGGCUUAGAAGCAGCCAUCAUUUAAAGAAAGCGUAAUAGCUCACUGGUCGAGUCGGCCUGCGCGGAAGAUGUAACGGGGCUAAACCAUGCACCGAAGCUGCGGCAGCGACACUAUGUGUUGUUGGGUAGGGGAGCGUUCUGUAAGCCUGCGAAGGUGUGCUGUGAGGCAUGCUGGAGGUAUCAGAAGUGCGAAUGCUGACAUAAGUAACGAUAAAGCGGGUGAAAAGCCCGCUCGCCGGAAGACCAAGGGUUCCUGUCCAACGUUAAUCGGGGCAGGGUGAGUCGACCCCUAAGGCGAGGCCGAAAGGCGUAGUCGAUGGGAAACAGGUUAAUAUUCCUGUACUUGGUGUUACUGCGAAGGGGGGACGGAGAAGGCUAUGUUAGCCGGGCGACGGUUGUCCCGGUUUAAGCAUGUAGGCUGAUUGUCCAGGCAAAUCCGGAUAAUCAAGGCUGAGGUGUGAUGACGAGGCACUACGGUGCUGAAGUAACAAAUGCCCUGCUUCCAGGAAAAGCCUCUAAGCAUCAGGUAACAUUAAAUCGUACCCCAAACCGACACAGGUGGUCAGGUAGAGAAUACCAAGGCGCUUGAGAGAACUCGGGUGAAGGAACUAGGCAAAAUGGUGCCGUAACUUCGGGAGAAGGCACGCUGGUGUGUAGGUGAAGCCCCUGCGGGUGGAGCUGAGACCAGUCGAAGAUACCAGCUGGCUGCAACUGUUUAUUAAAAACACAGCACUGUGCAAACACGAAAGUGGACGUAUACGGUGUGACGCCUGCCCGGUGCCGGAAGGUUAAUUGAUGGGGUUAUCCGUAAGGAGAAGCUCUUGAUCGAAGCCCCGGUAAACGGCGGCCGUAACUAUAACGGUCCUAAGGUAGCGAAAUUCCUUGUCGGGUAAGUUCCGACCUGCACGAAUGGCGUAAUGAUGGCCAGGCUGUCUCCACCCGAGACUCAGUGAAAUUGAACUCGCUGUGAAGAUGCAGUGUACCCGCGGCAAGACGGAAAGACCCCGUGAACCUUUACUAUAGCUUGACACUGAACAUUGAGCCUUGAUGUGUAGGAUAGGUGGGAGGCUUUGAAGCGUGGACGCCAGUCUGCGUGGAGCCAACCUUGAAAUACCACCCUUUAAUGUUUGAUGUUCUAACGUUGGCCCCUUACCGGGGUUGCGGACAGUGUCUGGUGGGUAGUUUGACUGGGGCGGUCUCCUCCCAAAGCGUAACGGAGGAGCACGAAGGUUAGCUAAUCCUGGUCGGACAUCAGGAGGUUAGUGCAAUGGCAUAAGCUAGCUUGACUGCGAGCGUGACGGCGCGAGCAGGUGCGAAAGCAGGUCAUAGUGAUCCGGUGGUUCUGAAUGGAAGGGCCAUCGCUCAACGGAUAAAAGGUACUCCGGGGAUAACAGGCUGAUACCGCCCAAGAGUUCAUAUCGACGGCGGUGUUUGGCACCUCGAUGUCGGCUCAUCACAUCCUGGGGCUGAAGUAGGUCCCAAGGGUAUGGCUGUUCGCCAUUUAAAGUGGUACGCGAGCUGGGUUUAGAACGUCGUGAGACAGUUCGGUCCCUAUCUGCCGUGGGCGCUGGAGAAUUGAGGGGGGCUGCUCCUAGUACGAGAGGACCGGAGUGGACGCAUCACUGGUGUUCGGGUUGUCAUGCCAAUGGCACUGCCCGGUAGCUAAAUGCGGAAGAGAUAAGUGCUGAAAGCAUCUAAGCACGAAACUUGCCCCGAGAUGAGUUCUCCCUGAGACUUUAAGUCUCCUGAAGGAACGUUGAAGACGACGACGUUGAUAGGCCGGGUGUGUAAGCGCAGCGAUGCGUUGAGCUAACCGGUACUAAUGAACCGUGAGGCUUAACCUU